AGGCGAUGAAGGACGCGGUAGCCUGCGAAAAGCUACGGGGAGCUGGCAAACGAGCUUUGAUCCGUAGAUGUCCGAAUGGGGAAACCCACUCCUUUUGGAGUAUCCAUGGCUGAAUACAUAGGCCAUGCGAAGCGAACGCGGUGAACUGAAACAUCUAAGUAACCGCAGGAAAAGAAAUCAACCGAGAUUCCCAAAGUAGUGGCGAGCGAAAUGGGAUGAGCCUUGCACUCUUUAUUUGUAUUGUUAGCCGAACGC
Molecule: ribosomal RNA, 255 nt
Filed under: Burkholderia cenocepacia
Lineage: Bacteria; Pseudomonadati; Pseudomonadota; Betaproteobacteria; Burkholderiales; Burkholderiaceae
Description: partial 23S ribosomal RNA
Rfam family: Bacterial large subunit ribosomal RNA
Source: RNAcentral